Long non-coding RNA from Tripterygium wilfordii, 742 nucleotides. RefSeq lists it as uncharacterized. NCBI's taxonomy places the organism in Eukaryota, Viridiplantae, Streptophyta, Magnoliopsida, Celastrales, Celastraceae. The record is from RefSeq and is a predicted model, not a curated record. The transcript is spliced from 3 exons.
AUACGACGCCGUUCCAAGUGAAGUGGGUGGGAAUAAAACCUUAAAACGCGAUUUAGUUUCAGUUUGCGCUCCCAUCUCAAUCCGACUGGAAGGAAUGACGAAAUCAGUCACUCUGAUUCAAACAAUUGCGUUUGCAGGACUCUUCUCUGGCGCUGCGUUCUGGUACGGCUUCGUGAUCGGUAGAGAGUCCUCUCGGAAAGAGCUCGGAGAUUUGAUUGAAGAUCUUCGCCGUGGGAACUCCGCCUCCUCGCCGCCUUCACAUUGAGCUUGAUUAUGUGAUGGUUCGAUUUUGAUUUCCGUGCUUUGUCCACAUGGAAGUGCAUUUGCUAAAUAAGGUGAGCACCGAACUGAACGCAAAUAGGUGUCGAUCAUUUAUCGGAAAUUUUUUUAGUUGAACUUGCUUCUUUGCUACCAGGCAACGUGGCUUAAUUUGAGCCAGAAUGUGCUACACCUCUGAUGUGAUUUUGUUAUUUCUAAAGAAUUUCUGUGAUAUGGACUCGCGAUGAAAGGAUAACAGUUAUUUUGAAUGCUAUAUUUUGAUUUUGUAUACUUAAGGGAGUCUUUUCCGCUCCACAAUGAUAGCUUUCCUUUAUGCAUAUUGCUGCACUGAAUGCAAGUGAAUAGCGUUGUGCCAGCUAUUCAAUAUUUUAACUUUACCUCUUUAUACUGUAUUACUAUAUUAUUUUUUUUGAAGUUUGUUUGAAACUUUUAAGCGUGGAAGCAUCGGCUGAUUUACAGUUAC